ACGCUCGACACCUACGGGAGGCAGCAGUGGGGAAUAUUGCACAAUGGGGGAAACCCUGAUGCAGCGACGCCGCGUGAGCGAAGAAGUAUUUCGGUAUGUAAAGCUCUAUCAGCAGGGAAGAAACUGACGGUACCUGACUAAGAAGCACCGGCUAAAUACGUGCCAGCAGCAGCGGUAAUCUGAGCGGGCUGGCAAGGC
Molecule: ribosomal RNA, 198 nt
Filed under: uncultured bacterium
Lineage: Bacteria
Description: partial 16S ribosomal RNA
Rfam family: Bacterial small subunit ribosomal RNA
Source: RNAcentral